Molecule: long non-coding RNA, 231 nt
Filed under: Hordeum vulgare
Lineage: Eukaryota; Viridiplantae; Streptophyta; Magnoliopsida; Poales; Poaceae
Description: long non-coding RNA (HVUL_LNC020514)
Source: RNAcentral
AGCAAACGUGAUCCAUCAUGCGCCAUCUUCUUUCUAUAUGUGCUUUGUUUAGCUAGGCCUUUUGUUUCACAUCUUCCUGAUAGCAUCUGCUGCCAUCACCGGUGCAAUUGCCUUAAGUCACUUUGUCGUAUUAACCUUGAGCCGCCGUGAUCAGUGGAGUCACCCGCAGGUCACCACAUCGGAUUAACAUGGCAUCAUAGCCUGUUGAUCAACGUGGACCAGAUGUGAGAU